CUGAUCUUCCCGUGAAGAAGCGGAAAUUAAUUUAUAAGACGAGAAGACCCCAUGGAGCUUUAAACCCAAUUACAUCCUUAUAUUUAAAAUCUUCAUAGCUUUUAAGGUAUUGUAUAUUCGGUUUUAGGUUGGGGUGACCGCGGAGCAUAAAUAAGCCUCCACGAUGAAUGGAAUUAUUUUCCUUAUCUAAGAACUACAUUUCUAAGAAUUAAUAUUUUAACAUAUAAUGAUCCAAUAUUUGAUCAACGAACCAAGUUACCCUGGGGAUAACAGCGCAAUCCACUUCAAGAGCCCCUAUCGACAAGUGGG
This 309-nucleotide ribosomal RNA is filed under the name Blommersia blommersae (Ambrana Madagascar frog). RNAcentral's name for it is "partial 16S ribosomal RNA". Lineage: Eukaryota; Metazoa; Chordata; Amphibia; Anura; Mantellidae. The record is from RNAcentral.